UUCUUGUACAUGCGUAUCUUUGCAAUCAAGUAUUCCAUUGUCUACAUAGUUGAUUUAGUCAUUUUAUUUACUUUUUGCCGGAGGAGUAGUAUGAGGCAGUUUGUAGGUGUUCUUAAAAGUUUAGAACUCAAUUAUUGCUUAUUCAAAGAAAAACUUCCUACAUGCUUAAUAACAUGUCCAUUUGAACUGCAUCAAAUUAACUUAAAUUAGAAUAAUUUAAAGUAAAAUAAGCACAUCACAGCAUACUUUCUUAUUUUUUAUUUAAAGGAUACCACACUUGAGGAAAGAUACAAGAAGAGGCCCAGUCUCUCUCUGGAACGUGAAGAACAGGAUGGGAUCUAAGAUGUGCUAAGGAUGACACCACAGCAUGGCCUGAUGAGUGAUGAUAGAUCUGCACCCAAGAUCUGAACCUGUGAACCCUUGGCCGCUGAAGCAGAGUGCGUGAACUUAACCGCUAUGCAACCAGGCCAGCCCCCAGCUCUAAUUUUUAAAAGAAGAGAGCUGAUAUAAAUCUAUCCUACAUCUUGUGUGACUGAAAUAUUUAUUGAUUCCAACACACUGUGAAUGCUUAUUUAAAGAUUACCCCAUUAGUUAUUUCCACUGCACAUGUGCUCACAAACACACACACACACACUCUCAUGGAUUUCAGUUAUUAGUAUACAAUGCCUAAAUGUAUUGGUAGUCAACCCAAUGUAUAAAGUGACAAGGAUAUUUCUGGAACUUUUGAAAUUUUAAUAUUAUAAUGGAGUUCUUCUUCCUGUUUCCUCAAGAGUUUUCUGAUUCCCCUAGUGUGGUGGAUGAGUAAUGGCCCCUCAAAGAUGUGCACAUCCUACUCCCCAGAAUGUGAGCAUAUGUUACCUUACAUGGCAAAAGGGACUUUGUCAAUGUGAUUAAGUUAAGGAUCUUGAAAUCAGGAGAUUAUCCUGGAUUAUCCAAUUGUGCGUAAUAUAAUCACAAGGGUCUUAUAAGAGGUAGGAGUCAGAGAAGGUGAUGUGAUGACAGAGAUGGGGGAAAAAAGGAUAUGUGACAAUGGAAGCAGAUGUUGAAGUGAUACAGGGCUAUGAGCUGAGCAAUAUGGUAGCCUCGAGAAGCCAGACAGGCAAAGAAACAGAUUCUCUCCUACAGCAUCCAGAAGUUGCCCUGUUGACGAUUUUAUUUUAGCCCAAUGAAAUGCACUUUAGCCUUCUCAGCUCCAGAACUAGAAGAUGAUAUACUUGCCUUAUUUUAAGCCAUUAAUUUUGUAGCAAUUUGUUACAGCAGCAAAAGGAAAGAAUACACCUAGCAUUAGUAUUUUCUAGCUUAACUCUCCAGUUUUAUCAGAUGAUGUCCCCAGUGAAUCAUUAUCUUCUCUGAAUAUAUUACUCCACUGGGAGUCUCAAACAGGCAGUCCACAUGUCCUUAUUCUGGACAGCCUGUUUAUUCCAGGAGACUCUAUACAUUCAUUCACCUUCAUGGAGUACAUGCAAUAAGUUGGUUUAGGCUUGGCUUUAAAUAGACCAAAUAGCCACAUUUUUUUUACCUUCGUACUACGUGAAACUGGAGACUACAAUCCAAGAUAGUGGCUUUUGCUAGGAGACAUAUAUAUAACACAAAAAUAACUGGAAACUUUAGCAAAUAAUAAAAAUCUUUGGUCACUUUAGCAAAUCACAUUUUCAACACAUGUAUAAGUAUGCCCAUAUAUGUUUUUACAAAAGUUAUACAUUUUUAAUGUAUAUAAUGCUUUGGCCUUUCUCUUCUAUAUUUUAAUCUUAACGACAGAAGGCUAUACAAAUAGUGGUC
Molecule: long non-coding RNA, 1779 nt
Filed under: Equus caballus (horse)
Lineage: Eukaryota; Metazoa; Chordata; Mammalia; Perissodactyla; Equidae
Description: lncRNA (ENSECAG00000045160.1)
Source: RNAcentral